Molecule: ribosomal RNA, 497 nt
Filed under: uncultured bacterium
Lineage: Bacteria
Description: partial 16S ribosomal RNA
Rfam family: Bacterial small subunit ribosomal RNA
Source: RNAcentral
GACGAACGCUGGCGGCGUGCCUAAUACAUGCAAGUUGAGCGAUGAAGAUUGGUGCUUGCACCAAUUUGAAGAGCAGCGAACGGGUGAGUAACGCGUGGGGAAUCUGCCUUUGAGCGGGGGACAACAUUUGGAAACGAAUGCUAAUACCGCAUAACAACUUUAAACAUAAGUUUUAAGUUUGAAAGAUGCAAUUGCAUCACUCAAAGAUGAUCCCGCGUUGUAUUAGCUAGUUGGUGAGGUAAAGGCUCACCAAGGCGAUGAUACAUAGCCGACCUGAGAGGGUGAUCGGCCACAUUGGGACUGAGACACGGCCCAAACUCCUGCGGGAGGCAGCAGUAGGGAAUCUUCGGCAAUGGACGAAAGUCUGACCGAGCAACGCCGCGUGAGUGAAGGAGGUUUUCGGAUCGUAAAACUCUGUUGGUAGAGAAGAACGUUGGUGAGAGUGGAAAGCUCAUCAAGUGACGGUAACUACCCAGAAAGGGACGGCUAACUACGUG